RNAcentral lists this ribosomal RNA (425 nucleotides) under uncultured bacterium. RNAcentral's name for it is "partial 16S ribosomal RNA". It matches the Rfam family "Bacterial small subunit ribosomal RNA", at positions 354 to 796 of the family's 1533-position model. The record is from RNAcentral.
GUGGGGAAUCUUAGACAAUGGGGGAAACCCUGAUCUAGCCAUGCCGCGUGAGCGAUGAAGGCCUUAGGGUUGUAAAGCUCUUUCAGCUGGGAAGAUAAUGACGGUACCAGCAGAAGAAGCCCCGGCUAACUCCGUGCCAGCAGCCGCGGUAAUACGGAGGGGGCUAGCGUUGUUCGGAAUUACUGGGCGUAAAGCGCGCGUAGGCGGACCAGAAAGUUGGAGGUGAAAUCCCAGGGCUCAACCUUGGAACUGCCUUCAAAACUCCUGGUCUGGAGUUCGGGAGAGGUGAGUGGAAUUCCGGGUGUAGAGGUGAAAUUCGUAGAUAUUCGGAGGAACACCAGUGGCGAAGGCGGCUCACUGGCUCGAUACUGACGCUGAGGUGCGAAAGCGUGGGGAGCAAACAGGAUUAGAUACCCGUGUAGUCC